UAAACUUGAUCAAAGUUUAUUAUUGAGCAAGGAAACAUUUACGUCUGGUCCAGUGUUUCUUUAAAGUAUCAACGAAAAUAAUAAUUAGUAUUUUUCAUGAAGAUAAUUAUGACGUAGAACCCAACACAUGAGGACGUAGAAACCAACGACGUAGAACCCAAAACAUGAGGAUGUAGAACACAACGACGUAGAACACAACACAUAAGGACGUAGAACACAUGAGAACGUAGAACCCAACACACAAGGACGUAGAACACAACGACGUAGAACCCAACACGCGGACGUAGGAACCCAACACAUGAGGACGUAGAACACAACGACGUAGAACCCAACCUGUCUGGCCUUGAUCUCUAUGAGCUGCCAGAUCAAUAGUAAAAAUGUAUUGUGGAAGGACCACCAGAGGGCAGGCUGGGCUCACGGAUAGUAGCCCAACAAGGCAUGGGAGACAAGGUAACCAGAGGGCAGGCUGGGCUCACGGAUAGUAGCCCAACAAGGCAUGGGAGACAAGGUAACCAGAGGGCAGGCUGGGCUCACGGAUAGUAGCCCAACAAGGCAUGGGAGACAAGGUAACCAGAGGGCAGGCUGGGCUCACGGAUAGUAGCCCAACAAGGCAUGGGAGACAAGGUAACCGGAGGGCAGGCUGGGCUCACGGAUAGUAGCCCAACAAGGCAUGGGAGACAAGGUAACCAGGGGGCAGGCUGGGCUCACGGAUAGUAGCCCAACAAGGCAUGGGAGACAAGGUAACCAGAGGGCAGGCUGGGCUCACGGAUAGCAGCCCAACAAGGCAUGGGAGACAAGGUAACCAGAGGGCAGGCUGGGCUCAGGGAUAGUAGCCCAACAAGG
This is a long non-coding RNA of Oncorhynchus tshawytscha (Chinook salmon), 843 nucleotides long. Lineage: Eukaryota; Metazoa; Chordata; Actinopteri; Salmoniformes; Salmonidae. The record is from Ensembl.